CGUGCCUUGUGCCAAACAAUAUAUAACAACAAACCAUGGUGUGACGAGAAGAUGUAGUCUUUGCACUAUCAGUUGUUACCGGUGUAGUCAAUAAAGUGUCAUUUGCGCUAGAUGUUUCGUCACAGUGGCAUCAUUGUAAGUACUAAUAUACUUAUUAGAAAUAGCGUCGUACUUACCAAAACACGUGGAGUGAGUAGCGUGCAAGGUGAGCGGUUAGCCGGCAGCGGCGGCCGCAUGGUGACCACCACGCAUGGCGCUGCAGCACCACCAGCUGCUCAAGUGCACAACUCACACCCACAGUCCUGAUGCCGAGUUGUACCGAGUUUGUGAAGAGAGUAUGUUCAGCGCUGGCUGGCUGGCGCCGGGACGUAGCAACGCGACGCGAACUGUGUUUACAACAAUCGUAGGAACAGUUGCGGGGAGUUGGAGCGAGAUCGCGCGCCGCCGCUGGGAGGCCGCGAAGCCGACUGCCGCCUCGAGCCGCGUACCACCAGGGCGGGCGGCCGCGCCCCCGCGCGCCCAAUGCCUUCAAUUCUUCGCAUACCGUCUCACACUUUUAAGCGCACCUAAGUGUUUACCGAAGCUCGUACGAUCGCGUUAAAAGAUGUCUAAUCGCUCUCGACACGUACAUCAACGUAUUUCACGUUCAACGCUCUCCGUGUUCAGCGAAUACACCUCAAUACGUUAAUGUUACACACUUCCUCAAAGUAACAAUAACUUUUAAAAAUAAUGUCAAAAGCACAUUGACAAAUAAAAAACUUAUGUUUACAGCCUGAA
Long non-coding RNA from Helicoverpa zea (corn earworm), 777 nucleotides. RefSeq lists it as uncharacterized. The record is from RefSeq and is a predicted model, not a curated record. The transcript has 2 exons. Lineage: Eukaryota; Metazoa; Arthropoda; Insecta; Lepidoptera; Noctuidae.